ACUACGGGUGGCUGCAGUGGGGAAUAUUGCGCAAUGGGCGAAAGCCUGACGCAGCGACGCCGCGUGAGGGAUGAAGGUCUUCGGAUCGUAAACCUCUGUCAGCAGGGAAGAACGGUCACUGUGCUAAUCAGCAGUGAAUUGACGGUACCUGCAAAUGAAGCACCGGCUAACUCCGUGCCAACAGCCGCGGUAAUACGGAGGGAGCGGACGUUCAUCGGAAUUACUGGGCGUAAAGCGCUCGUAGGCGGUAUGUCAAGUAAAGGGUGAAAUCCCCGCUCUCACCGUGGGAACUGCCUUUGAAACUGGCAAACUGGAGUGUGUGAGAGGAUAGUGGAAUUCCAGGUGUAGGAGUGAAAUCCGUAGAUAUCUGGAGGAACAUCAGUGGCGAAGGCGACUAUCUGGCACAUAACUGACGCUGAGGAGCGAAAGCGUGGGUAGCAAACAGGAUUAGAUACCCCAGUAGUC
RNAcentral lists this ribosomal RNA (465 nucleotides) under uncultured bacterium. Its description in RNAcentral is "partial 16S ribosomal RNA". It matches the Rfam family "Bacterial small subunit ribosomal RNA", at positions 338 to 795 of the family's 1533-position model. The record is from RNAcentral.